This 814-nucleotide long non-coding RNA is filed under the name Parus major (Great Tit). RNAcentral's name for it is "lncRNA (ENSPMJG00000009339.1)". Lineage: Eukaryota; Metazoa; Chordata; Aves; Passeriformes; Paridae. The record is from RNAcentral.
GUGCUUAAGAUCAGGAAUCUCAGUCUCCAGGAUGAACCAAGAAGCCGGAUACCCUGGCUGAAGUCUGCCAAGGCUCAGAGGAGCACAGCAGCAUGCCAGAUCUUCCCUGGAUUUGAGCAUAACAGCCUGGAUUCACUAGCUUGUUUUGGUGGCUAGCUUCUUCAGCUAAUGGAUGACACAGAGAAAUACCUGAAUCUAUCCUGUGUCUGUGAGCACCAAAUUCCUAGAUUGCAAGACCAGCCUAAUUCUUUGCUCUGCUGGAAGUCAUCUUAAGAGGCUGCUUGACGUGGGCCUCAGGAAUGCCUUGUGGAACUUCUGCACUCAGCUCUUACUCCAUCAUCACCGCCUUGCAGAGAGCGGUGGAUGGCUGCAUCUGGGAGUCCAUCUAAGUGAGGGGCUGGUUCACUUUGAACACUGGUGUGGAGCAAGGCUACACUUACUUUCUGGAGCUCUUUAGCAUUAUCAUUCGUAACUACUGUGUAGGCAGCACGAGCAGCAGCAUUCUGUGGGGUGGAUUGCACAUAUCUUGGAAGCGUAAAUUGUGCUAGUAGCACUGCGUUACUGAGCCAUAGACCUGAAAAAACCUGUGAAGAUACAUAACCUAGCAAAAGCAGUAAGCCAGACAGGAUUUAAAAUCAGUUAUCAAAGCAAACAUCCCUGAAAGCUUAAUACCAAGCAUCAAAGUCAUGCUAGAAAACACAAAUUCUGGGAAAGCAGAGCUUGCCAGUCCUGUCCAUAUCCCACUUCUGACUAAUUAGGAAAGAACUGACAGUAAAAAUAGGAAAGUCUUGCACCACUCAUUUCAGCAUAUGUA